This 477-nucleotide ribosomal RNA is filed under the name uncultured bacterium. RNAcentral describes it as "partial 16S ribosomal RNA". It matches the Rfam family "Bacterial small subunit ribosomal RNA", at positions 30 to 507 of the family's 1533-position model. The record is from RNAcentral.
AUGAACGCUGGCGGCGUGCCUAACACAUGCAAGUCGAACGGAGUCCAGCCUUAGAGACCUUCGGGUCAAAGAGGGGAAGACUGAGUGGCGGACGGGUGAGUAACACGUGGGCAACCUGGCUCAUAGAGGGGGAUAACAGAGAGAAAUUUCUGCUAAUACCGCAUAAGCACACACUGCCGCAUGGCAGAGUGUGAAAAGAGAAUCGCUAUGAGAUGGACCCGCGUCUGAUUAGCCAGUUGGCAGGGUAAGAGCCUACCAAAGCGACGAUCAGUAGCCGAUUUGAGAGGAUGAACGGCCACAUUGGGACUGAGACACGGCCCAAACUCCUACGGGAGGCAGCAGUGGGGGAUAUUGCACAAUGGGGGGAACCCUGAUGCAGCGACGCCGCGUGAGUGAAGAAGUAUUUCGGUAUGUAAAGCUCUAUCAGCAGGGAAGAUAAUGACAGUACCUGAAUAAGAAGCCCCGGCUAACUACGCG